Molecule: ribosomal RNA, 482 nt
Filed under: uncultured bacterium
Lineage: Bacteria
Description: partial 16S ribosomal RNA
Rfam family: Bacterial small subunit ribosomal RNA
Source: RNAcentral
AUUGAACGCUGGCGGCAUGAUUUACACAUGCAAGUCGAACGGUAACAGACCGCAAGGUGCUGACGAGUGGCGAACGGGUGAGUAAUGCAUCGGAACGUGCCCAGUCGUGGGGGAUAACUACUCGAAAGAGUAGCUAAUACCGCAUACGAUCUAUGGAUGAAAGCGGGGGACCGUAAGGCCUCGCGCGAUUGGAGCGGCCGAUGUCAGAUUAGGUAGUUGGUGGGGUAAAGGCUCACCAAGCCAACGAUCUGUAGCUGGUCUGAGAGGACGACCAGCCACACUGGGACUGAGACACGGCCCAGACUCCUACGGGAGGCAGCAGUGGGGAAUUUUGGACAAUGGGCGCAAGCCUGAUCCAGCAAUGCCGCGUGCAGGAAGAAGGCCUUCGGGUUGUAAACUGCUUUUGUACGGAACGAAACGGCUCUGGUUAAUACCCGGGGCUAAUGACGGUACCGUAAGAAUAAGCACCGGCUAACUACGUG